Molecule: long non-coding RNA, 3188 nt
Filed under: Gossypium barbadense (sea-island cotton)
Lineage: Eukaryota; Viridiplantae; Streptophyta; Magnoliopsida; Malvales; Malvaceae
Description: long non-coding RNA (GBAR_LNC019167)
Source: RNAcentral
GAAGUCACGACGAUUAUCGAGCCCCAUUUGAACCUUAGGAAUUCAUAGGAUACAAAUGACAUGUCAUUAGGGUUUUCUUGUUUCGGGUGCUGGUCCUGAAUGUCCUACCGAUGGAUGAGGUCCUGCAUUUGUUACAAAUACUCCACCGCUCGUGUGAACAACAUCGUGUAGCUUAAAUUCUGACCCACAGCUCGUGUGAGCAAUGAUGUAAAGGAAAUGAAAUGUUUAUAGCCUCUAUAUGAUAGCCGAAUGGACAGAAUAAACAAACUUAGAGACUAAGUAAUUCGGCUUUAAUUGUAUGAAUUAAUCUAGAAAUGUAUUUCCUAUUAGCUAUGUCUAGAUUUGGCUGGAUGUAAGGUUCAAUGUUCAGCUUUAAAGCUAAGGAAAUGAAUGUGGCAGCUGGUGAAUGCAUAGGAGACCAUCGGCCAUGUCUAGGUUCAGCCAAAGGGUGAAUGGUCCCUCCAAUAGAUGCCUCUUGGCCAAAUAAACUCAUAGGAGAUCAAUAGCCAGCAAACGAUGCAUGUAGGUGAGUAUUCAUGCACUCUUCCAUGGAUUGUAAUGAACCAUUCAUGCACCAUCCUUAAUGCAUUCAUACGUUGAAGGUAGUCAUUCAUGCACCCGCACGUACAUUGAACCAGCCUGUUCAUGAACCAUCAUUAAUUGUGUUUUCCACAUUCGGAUGUACCUACGAAAGACAUGAGCAAAUUAAGUUCAAUGUAUAUUUGGCUGAUCUUAGACUAAAUAAUAUCAAGACAUAUUAAAUUAACAAAUUAAAAACAGAUAAUAAAAUAUAGCUAAUAAUAAAUUCGGCUAGCUCAAUAAUAGAUGAAAUUCUUAAGGAGCUGAAUUGAGCUAGAGAAUUCGAUCAUGAGCUGUAGCAAAAUAAUUAAAAUAAAAAUAAUACUUAAUUUAUUUAUAUGAUAAAAGAAAUGAGCUGAAAGUAUGCUUAAUUGAGCUCAAACGAGCUGAAAAGAGCUCAAGUGAGCUGAUUUGAGUAGGAACGAGCCGAGGGAGCUAGAAUUGAGCUAAAAUCAGCUUGCACUAAGGUGCAAGGAGUCUUCAAGAAAUGGGCUCAAGCUUCUCUUUCAUCCAUAAGCUGAUUCUCCUUCCGAAGUCAAAGAAAUAGAGCUAAAAUAGCUUCAUGAAAGCGUUUGGAUCGAGCUCGAGUCAAUGGUCCUUUUGGAAGCUCGAUGGAAUCAUGGCUAGGGCUUAGCGGUGCUUGGGAUGUGGUCACGUCACCUAUUCGGGUGACAAAAAUUGGGUUUGGGGUGUUACAUGAGUGUUCUCGCAUAACUCACUUAAACAAUGGUUUGCAUGCUUAAGAAAGUCCAGGUAAGGCAUGCGGACGUUGUUGAAAUUUCAUGGGAGCCCUGCUAUAUAUUAUGCAAGCCUUGAUUUAUCAUCUACGAACCUUGUUACAAUGUGUGCGAGCUUUACAUAUUUUGUGUGAGCCUAUAAUAUGCAAGCCCAAUAAAAGUAUUGUGUGAACCCUAUAAAAGUACUGUGCCAACUUUAUAAAAGUGAGUGAGCUUACAAGUGUGCAAGAUUAUAUAUGUCAUGUGAACACCAGUAUCACGCGGGCUUGUAUAUUAUGCAAGCCCACUUGUGAUAAAUGCGAACCCUACUUUCAAAUGUUUUAUGCGAGCUUAAAUGUUUCAUGUGAGCUUAACUAUUUUAUAUGAGCCAAAUGUUUUAUACAAGCUUAAAUGUUUUAUGCGAGCCUAAAAAUACUAUACGAGCCUAUAUCCAUGUGCAAACCCCUUACAUUUUGUACGAACUCUAUGCCAUUCGAACCCAUAUAUUAUGUGUGAACCCAUAUGAUAUAAGUGAGCCCAUGUUUUUGCAAGCUCUGUUAGAUUGUGAGCCUUAUUAUACUGUGUAUUGUGAAUGUGAUAAAAAAAAUGAUAUGUUGGCAUUGUUAACGAUUGUAACCGCUAGAUAUAAUUGGCAAGCCAUAGGACUGUGAUUACUCACCCUUUCUACUCUAUGUUAUGGCAUUGUAGCUCAGAGAUAGUGUUGGAGAGAUAAGGGAAUGUUGAGCAUAGCUCCAUUCAUUGUAGAUAGCGUGGUAUGUUUGAAGAGUGUGAACAUUCACGCUUGGUAUGUUUGAAGAGUGUGAACAUUCACGCUACACUUACAUGAAGAUAGUGUUCGACUCCUUGAGUCAUAUGGAGUGUUUUGGAGAUCCUCUUAUCUAAUUGUGUCGCGUGAUUACGUGGAAGUGUAUACGAUCAUACAAGUAAUAUGUAGCAAGUAAAGAGUAUUGUUUCCAUAGAAAUUGUUGUGUGAAUUAUUUUCAACGUCAAGUUUAAUCAAUUUUGAAGGAACAAAUAAAAGAGAAUAUUAUUGAUGAGAGUCGCAAAAUUAAAUUAAGAAAUGUAUCUAAAGUUCAAAGACCCAUAAAAAAAACAACAUUCCUUACAGAAAAUAAUCACAACAAGAAAUGAACUAAAGAUUUAAUAUAACACAACAUGAAUAAACUAAAAUAAAUAUGUCACAUAAUAAGAAUUUAUUGGUAUUCAUAAAAAGAAUAUAAUGGAGGAUCGUGGGAAUAUGAAAAUUCAUUAAACCCAUUUUAUUUAAGGCAUAGGCUUAUCUCGAAGUCCUAUUAUGUCCCUAAGUUAAUUAGCAUAUGCUUAUAUCAAAAACUAACCUAAAAAUCACCCUUUCAAGCAUUUACAUAGUUUAUGCAUACAGUAAUCAUCUUUCAAUACCGACAUGAUAUGCACCAUUUAGGUAUUUUGUCAAUUAACCAUUACCUCUUCUCAGAUUAAAUAGUUAAUUAAUUAACCUACAAAUGUUGGCCAUAAAUUUAUAAGUAUAAUCAUGAAUUAAACCUAAAUGAAUUAAAUAAUCAUUUGUACAAAAUAUUCAGACAACAAAAACAAAUUAAUUCAUACCAAGAUUCAUAUCCAUUUUGAAUAAACAAAAUUAAGUCAUGACAUAUCAAAUUAAAAACAUGAAGAUGAGAUGCAAUUUUAUCUCUCGACACAAGAAAAAAUUGACUACAGGGGUUGUUUGUGACUGCUCCUUGCAGCUUCCCAUGGUGGCUCUCCUCCACGUCAUUUAUGCUAAAAUCAUCUACACGUAUUCAAUUCAUCCUCCUACAUGCUCUUAUAUCGGCAAGUGUUUGCCUUAUUUUGUGGAAAUCAAAUGUUUAGUAAGACAUGGAGAAAAAUUGGUGUAAU